RNAcentral lists this ribosomal RNA (497 nucleotides) under uncultured bacterium. Its description in RNAcentral is "partial 16S ribosomal RNA". It matches the Rfam family "Bacterial small subunit ribosomal RNA", at positions 28 to 507 of the family's 1533-position model. The record is from RNAcentral.
GAUGAACGCUGGCGGCGUGCCUAAUACAUGCAAGUCGAGCGAACGGACGAGAAGCUUGCUUCUCUGAUGUUAGCGGCGGACGGGUGAGUAACACGUGGAUAACCUACCUAUCAGACUGGGAUAACUUCGGGAAACCGGAGCUAAUACCGGAUGAUAUUUUGAACCGCAUGGUUGAAAAGUGAAAGACGGUCUUGCUGUCACUUAUCGAUGGAUCCGCGCUGCAUUAGCUAGUUGGUAAGGUAAAGGCUUACCAAGGCAAGCAUGCAUGGCCGACGUGAGAGGGGGAUCGGCCACACUGGAACUGAGACGCGGUCCAGACGCCUACGGGAGGCAGCAGUAGGGAAUCGGCGGCAGUAGGCGAGAGCCUGGCGGAGCAACGCGACGUGAGUGGUGAAGGCCUUCGGAGCGGAAAACUCUGUUAUUAGGGAUGAACAGAUGUGUAAGGAGCUGUACAGAUCGUGACGGUACCGAGUCAGAAAGCCACGGCUAACUACGUG